Molecule: ribosomal RNA, 477 nt
Filed under: uncultured bacterium
Lineage: Bacteria
Description: partial 16S ribosomal RNA
Rfam family: Bacterial small subunit ribosomal RNA
Source: RNAcentral
GACGAACGCUGGCGGCGUGCUUAACACAUGCAAGUCGAACGGUAAGGCCCUUCGGGGUACACGAGUGGCGAACGGGUGAGUAACACGUGGGUGAUCUGCCCUGCACUUCGGGAUAAGCCUGGGAAACUGGGUCUAAUACCGGAUAGGACUCCGGACUGCAUGGUCUGGGGGGGAAAGCUUUUGCGAUGUGGGAUGGGCCCGCGGCCUAUCAGCUUGUUGGUGGGGUGAUGGCCUACCAAGGCGACGACGGGUAGCCGGCCUGAGAGGGUGACCGGCCACACUGGGACUGAGAUACGGCCCAGACUCCUACGGGAGGCAGCAGUGGGAAUAUUGCACAAUGGGCGCAAGCCUGAUGCAGCGACGCCGCGUGAGGGAAGACGGCCUUCGGGUUGUAAACCUCUUUCAGCACAGACGAAGCGCAAGUGACGGUAUGUGCAGAAGAAGGACCGGCCAACUACGUGCCAGCCGCCGCCGUAA